This is an RNA transcript of Papaver somniferum (opium poppy), 2252 nucleotides long. RefSeq lists it as uncharacterized. The record is from RefSeq and is a predicted model, not a curated record. NCBI's taxonomy places the organism in Eukaryota, Viridiplantae, Streptophyta, Magnoliopsida, Ranunculales, Papaveraceae. The transcript is spliced from 4 exons.
AUUAUAAAAUAGUUUAGAUGUUGUCCGUUCUUGCAUAAAAUUUCGUAUGGGUAUAUGUUAUAUUUUUUUUUUGUCUAAUAGGUAGUUUUAUCAGAAAACAUUUGAUUUGCAUAUUAUUAAGUUUAUAAUAAAAUAAGUUUAUAAAGAAGAAAAUUUAGGAAAAUUAAAAAAUAAAUUUGAAAAUUGGUCAAGUGAAAAAAAAUUAGGACAAUCAUCUAUUUUAAAGAUAAAAUAGCUGACUAUUCCAGGUUAGGAUUUUUGUAUUCUAGAUAUUUGGGAGAACUGUGAAACCUUGUUUUUUUAGCCUACAAAAACUAAGGAAGGUUAAAAUCCAAAUCGCAUCUAACUGUUAUCACUUUGCCGGCGACUAAAUCUGCUUCAGUUACUUCUUAUUAUCCUGACACCCAAAACCUAAUAAUCUCAAAUGCACAUUUCUUUCUUUUUCAAAAUAGAAAUCUGAAUCAAAACUAGAUCUGAAAUCCAUUUUCUUUCUUACAUAAAUGUUUUCUCAAGCAUCUGAGAAGAAGAGUAUUGUACUUUGGUUGAAGAAUCAUAACCUUUAAGCCGAAGACUGGUGAAGAUGUUGUAGAUAGUUCCUCCGGGAAAGGUGGUGAGGACUCUGAUGAUCGGAUUCCUCUAUCUUGUUUUAAACCAAAAAAGUUGGUCAGGAAGCAGCCUUUUGCUGUCUCCUCUACCGUUGUAGGUGACAAAACUGAAAAAGGUUGUGAAGGAGCUAAGGGUGUGCCUGGAGGAAACUCUGGAAAGAGGAAAACAGAAUCAAUCCAAGGUUUCUAGAAAUGAUAUGAAGGGCCAAGAUUCUCGGGAGAGCGAUCCUAUUAAGAACAUUGAAAGGAAUCCUCCUCUGAACCAAGGCUUGGUUGGUGGUUCGAUGUUUAGAUUCUCGGGUGCUGAUUCUGAUUCACUUGGUGUCAUUGCCUCUUCUAGUUUCAGCAAGCUUACUUUCGCCUAGAUGUUGCAGGUUGUGCCCCUAGAUGGUCCUGCCAUGAAUGAAUUCCUCAACCUUGUUGUGAAUAAUACUACCCCGACCACGUGUUUGUUUUAUUCUUUCCCGAUCGGCUCCUUCACCCGUGGUGUUUGCAGGCCGGGAAUCAGAAACUUCUUGAGGCUGCUAUUCGUCAAAAUAAAUUGGAAGAAAUAGCCCACCUUCGGACUCAGCUGCAGGAGGAACAACACCGGUCUCGGGAGCUCGAGAAGAAGCUAAAUGAAGCCAAAGCUGAGCAAGGAAAGGUCAAAGCUUUGGAGGAGGAGGUCGUCCAAUUGAAUACUAAGCUUGGCGACGCUGCUGCUGAGUUGACUCGCCAACUGGAUGAGGCGCAAAAGAAGCACCGACAUGGAGCUUACUGACGGGAUCACGGAAGCUGUGAUGAUUUAUAUCAAUGAUCGGAGAAUGAGAAAGAACGAGAAUGCUGGUUCGGGUUCGGCUAAUCCCAAAACCUAGUUUCGAUCUCCCGUAGUGUUGUGUCACUAUUUUGCCCCUCCUCUUGGGCUGUAAUUGAAAACUUUAUUUAAUGUCUAAACAUUGAAACCAAACCUCAUGCAUGCCACAUUUGAAACUGUUUGUGAUAUAGCCUCCAAUUCAUGUCAUAGCAGCUUAGAUUUGAUUCCUAUAAGUAACUUAGAUGGUUCUCUUGAAUACUUUCUGUUUGAAAAUUAGGCGUUUUUUUUUUUAAAUUACCGUCUGUGAAAUUAUCAAGUCUGACGAUUUUAUCCGCAAAGAUUAUACCGGUAUCUUCCUCUGUGAUACUUUUCCUCCGUUUUAAAAACUUCUGUGUUUUCUAUGUUGUAUGAUUCAGUUAUGACUAAUCUCGUCUCACAUGAUUAUGCAGGCGAGCAUUGUAGUGGCCAAAAUUCUUGUGCAAAUCUGUGUGUUCUCCCCUGCAAGUUUUGUUUUCUCAUUGAAAAGAUACAACUUCGCUUGAAUAUCAAUGACUCUGGGUACCCUAUCAUGACAUCACCUAUAUAUGUCAAUUAUGUUUUCAAGUUUGUUGAUGGACACAACUCUUGUGCAAGAGGAACGGGAUGCUGGGCUAGCUCAUAAGGAGGCAGUGUAUAGCCCAACAUAAUGGGCCUAGAGAUGAGUUAUAGUUUUAGUGUAUUUUUUCUAGUUCUCUCUAUAGCUAAUUAUCUACUAGUAUAACACGCACGCGCGAUGCGCCUGCCAUUCCAUUCCAAAAAAAAAUCAACCUUUCUCUAGUUCUCUGUAUAGCUAAUUAGCUACUAGUAUAGUACGC